AGCAGCCGCGGUAAUUCCAGCUCCAAUAGCGUAUAUUAAAGUUGUUGCAGUUAAAAAGCUCGUAGUUGAAUUUCGGGAUCAAUACGUCGGUCGUGCUUCGGUACGUACUGGCGUAAUUGAUUUCUCCCUUCUGACGAACCAUGAUGUCAUUAACUUGGUGUCAUGGGAAAUCAGGACUGUUACUUUGAAAAAAUUAGAGUGUUUAAAGCAGGCUCACGCUUGAAUACAUUAGCAUGGAAUAAUGAAAUAGGACGUUCGAUCCUAUUUUGUUGGUUUUUAGGAUCAACGUAAUGAUUAAUAGGGAUAGUUGGGGGCAUUAGUAUUCAAUUGUCAGAGGUGAAAUUCUUGGAUUUAUUGAAGACUAACUACUGCGAAAGCAUUUGCCAAGGAUGUUUUCAUUAAUCAAGAACGAAAGUUAGGGGAUCGAAGACGAUCAGAUACCGUCGUAGUCUUAACCAUAAACUAUGCCGACAGGGAUCGGAUGA
This 485-nucleotide ribosomal RNA is filed under the name uncultured Glomus. RNAcentral describes it as "SSU rRNA". It matches the Rfam family "Eukaryotic small subunit ribosomal RNA", at positions 569 to 1059 of the family's 1831-position model. Lineage: Eukaryota; Fungi; Glomeromycota; Glomeromycetes; Glomerales; Glomeraceae. The record is from RNAcentral.